GUGUGUGUCUGCUAGUGUGUGUCUGCUAGUGAGUGUGUGUCUGUUAGUGAGUGUCUGUUAGUGAGUGUGUGCUUGCCUGUGAGUGUGUGUGUGUUUCAGUGAGUGUGUGUGUCUGUGAGUGAGUGAGUGUGUUUGUUUGUGUGUGUGUGUGUGUCUGACUGUGUGUGUAUGUUUGCCUAUGAGUGUGUCAGCGAGUGUGUGUGUCUGCUAGUGAGUGAGUGUGUGUCAGUGAGUGUGUGUUUCUGUUAGCUAGUGUAUGCGUAUCUGUCAGUGAAUGUGUGUGUGUAUUUAGAAGGCGGG
Molecule: non-coding RNA, 300 nt
Organism: Pelobates cultripes (western spadefoot toad)
Lineage: Eukaryota; Metazoa; Chordata; Amphibia; Anura; Pelobatidae
Source: the annotation of a GenBank genome assembly